Molecule: ribosomal RNA, 215 nt
Filed under: uncultured bacterium
Lineage: Bacteria
Description: partial 16S ribosomal RNA
Rfam family: Bacterial small subunit ribosomal RNA
Source: RNAcentral
UCUGCAACCCGACUACAUGAAGCUGGAAUCGCUAGUAAUCGCGAAUCAGAAUGUCGCGGUGAAUACGUUCCCGGGUCUUGUACACACCGCCCGUCACACCAUGGGAGUCGGAAAUGCCCGAAGUCAGUGACCCAACCACAACGUGAACUUCGUUCGCGUGGAGGGAGCUGCCGAAGGUGGAGCCGGUAACUGGGGUGAAGUCGUAACAAGGUACC